Ctenopharyngodon idella (grass carp) is the source of this 2246-nucleotide long non-coding RNA. RefSeq lists it as uncharacterized. The record is from RefSeq and is a predicted model, not a curated record. NCBI's taxonomy places the organism in Eukaryota, Metazoa, Chordata, Actinopteri, Cypriniformes, Xenocyprididae. The transcript has 3 exons.
GGACUCGGGCAAUCGUGUUCAUGGAUGCGAUUAUUAACGUUACUGUAAUAUGAAGCAGAGCAGGACCGAGUGUUGUGGGAGCUGAACGAGGUCGCUGGAGCGAUUGCGAGCAGCGGAACUUUUAUUAUGACACAGUCGCCGGCGUUGCUUCCGCUUUUCCGGUUAUGAGAAUGAGGUGCAAAGGCAUGCGGAGAGUGUUCUGUGAGCACAAAGGGUCAACAGGCUUUAUUGUAAAUGCUGAUGGGGGAUUUAGGAAAUGCAGAGUAACCAUGGAAACGCCAACAGCAGGAUAUCAGAGGCCGAAUCAUAACAGUGCAGCUAGAGCUCUCGCAGCCAGCAGAGUUAAGAGUCAUGUGUGUGUGCGAGAGAGAGAGAGACUGGGAUUCUGGGUAAAGGAACAACAAAAGAAGGAACAGGAGUCUUACUGAGAUAACAGAGUUCUUAGCAUCACUUAUGCACUCUAACAUUCCUACGCUCAUGUCCACACCCUUAGAAAAAAGAACUGCAUUUUUUCGACCGCAGAAAACGUAAAUUGAACACAGUAGUACGGAACGCUGCUGCAUUCCCAUUAUAACACAGUUAAACAACUGCAGUAAUGCAUCCAAAUUAACACACAAGUGUUGCAAUACUGAAAACCACAGUUCUACUGGGUGGAUCUAAUACUUUUUUGGCUGUUUAUUGAUAGUGUCAGCGAACAGGAAAUGACAAGAGAGAUUGGGAUCAAGACAUGUCAGCAGUUGUCAUCACAAUCCCCCUUUAGAGACCUUUAGUGAAGUGUCUUGGACAAGGGUACAAAAGUGAUGGUUAUCAGUGACACUCGAGUUUAUGGUCUAAUUAUAACUUUUCAAAUACAUUUUAAAUAGCUUAACAAGAUCUGCAACGCAUUAAGCUGUAUGCGAGAUGACGGUGUGAAAGCAGCUCUUCAUCUCCCUCAUCUGCUGCUCUCAGUGGAAACAAUUCCUUUUAUCUAUUUUCACCAUCAAUCAUCAUAAGUUAGAAAUGAGGCAAAACAGACAGGCAAGACAAGUUUAUUUAUAUGUUAUUUCACACAUAAUGGUAAUUCAAAGUGCUUUACAAAAAAAUAAGAGAAAUAAGUCAAGUUUAAAAUCAUUUAAGGCUGUUGAGUAAGCAAUAGCACUUUCAGAUCAUACUUCAAUAAUAAUUGCAGUAUCCACAUGGAUUCAUUUUUCUAGGUCUUGUUUGAAUAUAAAGCACCAAAUCUCUAUAUUUUUGCUAUUUUGUUUACUAUAUACUGUAUACUGUUUAUUGCUUUAUAUAAGUGAACUGGCAUUAGAAACAGUGAUCUAACCUUUGUAAAAGUCUUCUUAUAUUAUGGUCUCAUAUUAGAUUAAAUCGUGUACUUGAUUUUUUUCAAGAAUGAACAUUUAUCUUUGAUAUAUGGUGACUAAUGAGUCAGCUUCAUGUGGAUCAGGACGGCAUUCAAUCUUUUUUACAUUUAAGUUAGUAGUAAUUAAGGACCCGUUUUGCAAGAAUUAAAUUUGUCAGCAGAAUUAAUUAUGACCAAAUUAUGGGAAACCUGUUAUGUGAUUUGGCUAAAUGAAACUUGAAUCUGAAACAUUAGCUUUUUCCUCAGUUUUAGAUCUGCAUAGUUUUAUGGUUUUCCUCUGAAAUUAAACAAACUUGUUCAUAAAUUUGUCCCUUUUUUAUUUCUAUUAAAAAUUUAAUUAUUCAGCUGGGUCAGCAUGUGAAGUGACAAUGAAUAAACUGAGAUUUGAUCGUAGAUAACAAAAUAACAAAAUAUAAAGGUUCUGGAUAAGUCUUAAUGAUAAAUGUCACAGAAAAUGAUUCAUUUGUAUAUACACAGAGUACAAUGCCUUAAAAAGAUGAUAACCAUGAAAUAAAAAAUAUUUGAUCAUUAAAGGUUGACUCAUAUAAGUCAUAAAUCAUCACAGCGGGUCUGAGAGAAUGUAUCAUUUAAUGUGUGUUGUUGUAAGAAACAUUAUUCAGUACUGUAGAUAAUACUUAUGUGAAACACAAAAGGCAACAUUAGCAGUGACUUGUGAAUAAUUUGAACAUUUUUUAAGUAAAUUUUGCAGUAAUUUUAUAUCCACACAGACUGGUUUUUGUGUUUUAUAAGGACUUUGAUGGCCAAACCAGUAGGAUGGUGGUUUAAGUGGAUCAAACUUUCCCAAUGCUCAUGAAAAAUAAUAAUGAACCACAAACUAAGCAUUUGUUCAUAAGGUAGGGGGAAAAUCAAAAUAUCUUUCAUUUAUUUGUGUUACAAC